GCCGGCAGCUAGCUCUCUGCAACUCUCUCAUGGUCGCCCACUGAAGCUAAGCAGGGCUGCGCCCUGUCAGUACCUGGAUGGGCGACCACAUGGGAAACCUAGGUUGCUGUCGGAA
Non-coding RNA from Danio rerio (zebrafish), 115 nucleotides. The record is from Rfam. NCBI's taxonomy places the organism in Eukaryota, Metazoa, Chordata, Actinopteri, Cypriniformes, Danionidae.